GAUGGAGCCUCCAGGCCUGCCCAGCACCUACUGCCCUGGGACAGGCUCUCUUUCAAGUCAGCUCCUCUGUCCAGGAAGCAUCUGAGAGGCCGUGUGGUCCUGGCCAAGGAGGCAGGCCGUAAGGAGGGCAGGCCCGAGGACCUAGGUGUGGGCACACUCCGUGUGGAGUAGUCUCUGAGGCCAGACCUGCGGUUCCUGUUUCCUAUGCCCUGGGGACCCGGAGAAAGAAGACGGAUGGGCGCUGCAGCGGGGCGGAGCAGGCCUGAGCCCAGCUCGAGGAAAGCUUGCCUUCUCGUCUAGUGUCCCCGUGUUUUACAUAAUUAGAAAUGUGUGUGUGAAAAAAAUUUAAGCAAUUGAAAGGAGCCAGGGUGUGGUGGGAAGAAUUAUUAAAUAAUAAAAAAAAAAUCAAUCCUCAGUUUGGCCUGGCCAGACGAGUGUUUCUCGGCUCAGUAUUUGUUAAAGGGCGUGGCAAACACUAGUGCCGCAUGUGUCACCAAUGGUCACCAGCUCCAGAAGGCAAGUAAGAUGUGAGCGAAUUCCAUGAACACCAGAUGGCUUCAAGGGGCUUCCAGGUAAUUUGAAGGAAAAAAGUUUAAGGACAGAAGAUGAUGCUGAAAAAAUAAAAUCAGCUCUAAACCACCCCAGCAUGCUGGGAGAGCCUGAUGUGCUCCACGAGGAGCCCCCAAAAGCCGAGGGGAACACAGGACACUUCCCCGAAGGCACAGGGGCCUGGUCCUGCCCCUGGGCCACUCCAGGUGCAUGCAUGGGAGGCGAUGGCUGGGCAGCUGUGCAUCCACCUUUAGAGACACUAUCAGGUUUCCAAAGUGGCUGCACCAUUUUACACACCCACCAGCCAGGUGAACUGGGCAUCUCUUCUGCUGGUUCCAUCUGGGUUCACCCAUGGGUGGGCCCCACUCUGCAAGAGGGUCCAUAGGGCUGGACCGUCCAGGUUACUGCUGGCAAUGGUCCUGCUGGUGGCUCUGUCCCUGCUUCAUUCAGGUUGC
Molecule: long non-coding RNA, 1004 nt
Filed under: Pan troglodytes (chimpanzee)
Lineage: Eukaryota; Metazoa; Chordata; Mammalia; Primates; Hominidae
Description: lincRNA
Source: RNAcentral